AGGCUGUCUUCCGGCACCAUGGAAGCCCUUGCCACCAGAAUAGAUUAAUUUUGUCAUUGCCCUUUCUCCAUUUCUGUCUUUAACCAGAAAAAAGAGGUUAAUUGUGUGCCAUUUCUCAGGAGAAUGAGGAGGAAAGGAGGAAUUUACUGGAGAUGAGAGCCCGGAUAUUGGAUGGGUGUUCACAUGGACCUGGAAUUGGACAAAGGCAGAAGUGGCCGUGGUCAAUUGUCAAAGUCUUCAGAGAAUGAAUAAAAGUGAUUAGAAGUUUGAAGAAGAUGGAAAAGGAAGAGCUGUUGGUAGCAGGCUGCCCGGGAGGUUGCUGUGGCAUCAUAUCUGCUCUCUUCCUUUAUGUCAUCAGGAAGGUCAUGGAGGAAACAAGUGCGUGUCACGCGCUGUGUCCUUGGGAAUGCCCGGUCCUCAUCAGAAAGGCCCAGUCCUUCACCCUGCACCACAACUGACGCCAAAGCACAGACAGGAUUCAGAGGAAAUGAGGGCAACGGUCCUUGGCACCUUUUAAAGACACAAAAGCAGAAUUUGUGAAGCCGAAAAAGACCCUGGAAUAAGGCAGACCAAACUCCAACUCCCUUUAUUCUCCAGCUGAAGAAACCAAGACCAAGUAUGAUAAUGGUAGAACUGGCAAGUCAAGGACUCUAGGCAAGUAUACCAAAUCCUUCAUUCUUUCCUCAAACAGUACUUCUGUAACGAAAGGGAUCAUUUGUUCUUAUAAACCUUUUCCUAAACUUUUUGGCUUACCAACAUUUCAUUCCUUCACUCAUCCAACUGAAUUGAGCACUCAUUCUGUUCCUAACAUGUGCUGGGGAUACCAAGAUGAAUGAAGUGUGUCUCAAUUCUGAUGUAACACAGAGAGUAGGGGAAGAGAGAGGGACGUGUGAACACACCAUCUGAUGGGAAAAGGGUCUAAGGGAGUUAUGCAUAAGGAACCCUGUAUACAAAGAGAGGAAGACAAUACAAGUUACUUUUUAGUAUUUUCCACACAUCUAAAGACAAACAGACUCUCUUUGGCGUGGCACAAAUGUUGCAUUGGAAAUCUAUGUCAUUGGUGGUUAUGGACAUUUUGAGUGCGACAGUCUUGGCUCCUCUCCGUUGAAUUCCAGUAACACAUACCUCCUGGAUCAAAAACAAAUGCACCAGGACCGCCAAGGGUGUGCGCUGCGUCGGUCGAGAACCUCUGCCUAAGCUAACAGACAGCAAGCAUCUACCUGCAGUAAAGCCGCUGACCUCACUCUGAGAAACAAACAGAAGCGGAAUGGUGUUUUCCAAAUGGUUUGAAGCACUAAAAAUAAGAGUGUAAGUUUGGAGCAGAUGAUUUUGGCUGAUGAUCAAUUCCAUUAGCCAAAUGCGAACACAAGCAUUGCAGUCUAUAAAAAUAGCAAAGAUCUCACCAUUUUACAGUUGCAUCUUAUUAAUUCCACAUCUCACAAAUUUGGCUUUGGAUUAGGACAGACUCACGUUUAUUUUUGCUUUGACUUGGAUAAAUGAGUUCACUAAGCAAAAACAUAAACAAACAAUGGAGAAAGAAAAUACUUGCCUCACUUACGCACAAUUAACAUCACUCAUUUUACAGGUAAAAAACAAACAUGUAACUCGUGAAUGAUUCCAGUAGUUAGGGAAGCUCAGCUUGAUAAUUAUAGGAGCAAUUUUAAAAAGGAGAAUUAUAAGUAUGUGUUUGUUUGCUAGGGUUUCCAUAACAAAUGGCCACAAACUGGGUGGUUUAUGACAACAGAAACUCAUCCUCUCAUGGUUGUGGGGGCCAGGAAUCUGAGCUCCAGGUGGAGGCCAUCUGCUCUCUCUCUGGAGGCUCGAGGGGGAGAAUCCCUCCUUAUCUCUUCCAGCUUCUGCUGGCUCCAGCCUGGUCCUUCACAAACUCUUUCCUUUUCCAACCGUAUUUCAAUGACCCAUCUCAGGGCCUUUGUAAUACUCUUCCCCAUGCUUGGGACACUCCCUUCCUCCUCAUCCCCGACUUCUGAUGUCCUUGCCACUCUUCUGCUGCCCUGUCACUUUCUCCACCUCAGUGUGUCUGUUUGUCAUGGAUGCAGGGCUCAUGGCUCUUCUUCAUUAGCAUCAGCCUGGUACCUAGUGCAGUGCCUGGCAUAGAGUAGGUGCCCAGUGAACAUAUUUUCAAGGAACAAAUCAAUAAGGAAGGGAGGAAGGGAAGAAGGAAGGAAGAGCAGACGGAGGUGUGGGAAGGUCAAGUUACUUUCUAAGUACUGGGUGCGCUAACUUAUUUAAUUUCCCCAACCACCCGAUCACAUAGCUGUUAUGCGUACCAUCUACAUUUCAUUUCAUUUCAUUUCAUUUUUCAUUUUAUAAGUGGUAAAAAACAGAGGCUCAGGGAGAAGAAUGUGCCCAAACUGCUUUAAAACCUUUGGGAAAUAAUUAUUCAGAAAGAAAGGAACUAAAAAUGACUCGUGUGAGGUUGGCUGUGGUAGAAAAGUCUGGAAGGAUAGCCACCAAAUGUUAAUAGGGUUAUCUUUGCGUGAUGGAUUGUAUUAUUAAGUUUUUGCUUUUCUUGCUUAUCUGAAUGAUUUUUUUUUAAAUGAACCAAUAUUUAACAGGUGAAAGGCAGCUGCAUUUGGGCUGGAGUACAGGGGGUAUAAUCAUCUCUGAUGGAAAGGGUGCAUUUCUGGAAUGCAGGACAGGUCAGAGUUGCAAGGAGAGAGUAGUUUAAUAUACUUCAUGUCUUGGAGCUUGAGGUUAGACCCAGGAGUCAAAUUACUUGUCAUUUCAUUUUUUUUGUGUGUGUCUAGCGUAAAACUAGAAUGUUGUUUAACCACGGAUGCUACAUUUUGUUUAUUUUUCAAUAAGAAUCAGAAAUGUUCUGUGUGUUUCUAAAUCAUGCAGCCAGUUUUGCUUUUGAGCAUCCUGAAGAGAAUGCUGUUUUUUCUGCUGUUGUCACCAAUAGCCACUGUUUCAUGCUUCAGAGAGGAAAAGUCCUUCCUCAGUACUCUAACUGCUUCUGGAAUGGGUGUAAGUAUCUCACACUUUUAGCCUUCUUUGAGCUAAAUUUUAUUCCGGAGGUUAAAUGUAUAGCUCUCAAGCUUUUCUCUUUAGCUCUGAUUUAUUUAUUUAUGUUUCUUUGACAAUUUUAACUGUGGGAAUAAAUAGAUAAUCAGCAGAGUCCCUCUCAUUAUGCUGGGCCCACCUGCUUUCUCUUGCUAAUGGAUUAAGCAGGACAGUUAUUGUCCGGUGAGGCUCCCCAUACACUCAUCUACGUGGUCUGACUCAUCCAACAUUGUGAUUGUUUUGCUGUUGUCCUCCAUCCUGUUUGUUUCCUGAGGAUAGCAGCUCUGUUUGGCCCCCAAAAGAUAGCCUUGUUCUUACAACUGUGGAAUCUUCCCAUCUGAAAAGUAUAGAGCGGUUGUAUUAGUCAGGGUUCUCCAGAGAAACAGAACUGAUAGAAUGUGUACGCGUGUGUUUAUACAUGUAGAGGGAUGUGUAUCUCUCUCUCUCUCUAUAUAUAUGCAUAUAUACAUAUAUGCACAUCUAUUUUCUAUCUAUCUAUCUAUCUAUCUAUCUAUCUAUCUAUCUAUCUAUCAUCUAUCAUCUAUCUAUCAAGAGAUUUUAAGGGAUUGGUUCAUGUGGUUAUCAAGGCUGGCGAGUCUAAAAUCUGCAGGGUGAGCCAGCAGGCUGAAGACCCCGGAACAACUGAUGUAGCAGUUCAAGUCCAAAAGCCACCUGCUGCCAGAAUUCCUUCUUGCUCAGCAAGCUCAGUCUUUGUUCCGUUAAGGCCUUCAACUGAUUGGAUAAGGCCCACCCACACUGUAGAGAAUAAUCUACUCAAAGUCCACCAAUUUAAUGGAGAUACUUAUUCCUUAUUUUUUCCUGGCUUAUCCGUUGAGGUUGUUUUGCUAUCUUGUGACAUGCUGCAGUGAAAUUUAGUUUUGCUUACGUUAGGGUCUGCUGUUUCUCUUUAGAAUUACCAAGGGAGCGGGUGGAUAUAACAGGGAGAAAAUUACACAGGAAGCAUUUUAUUUUAUUUUAUUUUUAAGAUUUUUAUUUAUUUGAGAGAGAGAUUGAGAGAACAAGCAGGAGGAGGGAGAGAGGGAGAAGCAGACUCCCUGCUGAGCAGA
Long non-coding RNA from Zalophus californianus (California sea lion), 4091 nucleotides. RefSeq lists it as uncharacterized. NCBI's taxonomy places the organism in Eukaryota, Metazoa, Chordata, Mammalia, Carnivora, Otariidae. The transcript has 5 exons. The record is from RefSeq and is a predicted model, not a curated record.